UGGGGAAUUUUCCGCAAUGGGCGAAAGCCUGACGGAGCAACGCCGCGUGAGGGAUGAAGUCUCUAGGGAUGUAAACCUCUGCUGGGAGGGACGAAGAUCUGACGGUACCUCCUGAGGAAGCCCCGGCUAACUACGUGCCAGCAGCCGCGGUAAUACGUAGGGGGCAAGCGUUAUCCGGAUUUACUGGGCGUAAAGAGCGCGUAGGCGGUUCCGUAAGUUGGUUGUGAAAGUUCGAGGCUCAACCUCGAAACUGCGUCCAAUACUGCGGGGCUGGAGUGCGAGAGAGGCAAGUGGAAUUUGCGGUGUAGUAGUGAAAUGCGUAGAUAUCGCAAGGAACACCAGUGGCGAAGGCGGCUUGCUAGCUUGUAACUGACGCUGAGGCGCGAAAGCUAGGGGAGCGAAC
RNAcentral lists this ribosomal RNA (403 nucleotides) under uncultured bacterium. RNAcentral describes it as "bacterial SSU rRNA". It matches the Rfam family "Bacterial small subunit ribosomal RNA", at positions 355 to 773 of the family's 1533-position model. The record is from RNAcentral.